AGCUGAUCACCAUCAUUUCCUAACCCACCUCCACACCUCAGCAGCAGUUGUCUCUGAUCCUGGAUGAGGAUGAAGGUGGCCACAAUCUCCUAAGCCACUGCUUUCCACUUAUGGGACCAAAGUGGAGGGAAGUGGAUCGAAGACUGAACCCCCGGCAAGCUGCCAUCAAAGAGAUCCAGAUUUCAUGUGUGGAGACCAAGAGGAUUCUUUGCUAUUGUGCUCGCCAAUGGAAGGGAGGAAAAAAGGAAGAAAGGAAAAAGAAAGAAGAAGAAAGAAAAUACCUUAAUUAAAACAUGAUCUGG
Molecule: long non-coding RNA, 302 nt
Organism: Melopsittacus undulatus (budgerigar)
Lineage: Eukaryota; Metazoa; Chordata; Aves; Psittaciformes; Psittaculidae
Exons: 3
Source: RefSeq, a predicted model, not a curated record